UUUCGGGGCGGAGUGAAAUUCUCCACCGGCGGUUAAAGCCCGCGAGCCUUUUUGGCAGAUUUGGUGCAAUUCCAAAGCCGACAGUACAGUCUGGAAGAGAGAAA
RNAcentral lists this non-coding RNA (104 nucleotides) under human gut metagenome. Its description in RNAcentral is "FMN riboswitch (RFN element)". It matches the Rfam family "FMN riboswitch aptamer (RFN element)". Rfam says of the family: The RFN element is a highly conserved domain that is found frequently in the 5'-untranslated regions of prokaryotic mRNAs that encode for flavin mononucleotide (FMN) biosynthesis and transport proteins. The record is from RNAcentral.